GAUGAACGCUGGCGGCGUGCCUAAUACAUGCAAGUCGAGCGAACAGACGAGGAGCUUGCUCCUCUGACGUUAGCGGCGGACGGGUGAGUAACACGUGGAUAACCUACCUAUAAGACUGGGAUAACUUCGGGAAACCGGAGCUAAUACCGGAUAAUAUAUUGAACCGCAUGGUUCAAUAGUGAAAGACGGUUUUGCUGUCACUUAUAGAUGGAUCCGCGCCGCAUUAGCUAGUUGGUAAGGUAACGGCUUACCAAGGCAACGAUGCGUAGCCGACCUGAGAGGGUGAUCGGCCACACUGGAACUGAGACACGGUCCAGACUCCUACGGGAGGCAGCAGUAGGGAAUCUUCCGCAAUGGGCGAAAGCCUGACGGAGCAACGCCGCGUGAGUGAUGAAGCUCUUCGGAUCGUAAAACUCUGUUAUUAGGGAAGAACAAAUGUGUAAGUAACUAUGCACGUCUUGACGGUACCUAAUCAGAAAGCCACGGCUAACUACGUG
RNAcentral lists this ribosomal RNA (497 nucleotides) under uncultured bacterium. Its description in RNAcentral is "partial 16S ribosomal RNA". It matches the Rfam family "Bacterial small subunit ribosomal RNA", at positions 28 to 507 of the family's 1533-position model. The record is from RNAcentral.